Molecule: ribosomal RNA, 479 nt
Filed under: uncultured bacterium
Lineage: Bacteria
Description: partial 16S ribosomal RNA
Rfam family: Bacterial small subunit ribosomal RNA
Source: RNAcentral
GACGAACGCUGGCGGCGUGCUUAACACAUGCAAGUCGAGCGGAAAGGCCCUUUCGGGGGUACUCGAGCGGCGAACGGGUGAGUAACACGUGAGUAAUCUGCCCCUGGCUUUGGGAUAGCCACCGGAAACGGUGAUUAAUACCGGAUACGACCACUCCUCGCAUGGGAUGGUGGUGGAAAGUUUUUCGGCCAGGGAUGUGCUCGCGGCCUAUCAGCUUGAUGGUGAGGUAAUGGCUCACCAUGGCUUCGACGGGUAGCCGGCCUGAGAGGGUGACCGGUCACACUGGACUGAGGCACGGCCCAGACUCCUACGGGAGGCAGCAGUGGGGAAUAUUGGACAAUGGGCGGAAGCCUGAUCCAGCAACGCCGCGUGAGGGAUGACGGCCUUCGGGUUGUAAACCUCUUUCAGCAGGGACGAAGCGCAAGUGACGGUACCUGCAGAAGAAGCACCGGCCAACUACGUGCCAGCCGCCGCGGUAA